GGCAGCCGCGGUAAUUCCAGCUCCAAUAGCGUAUAUUAAAGUUGUUGCAGUUAAAAAGCUCGUAGUUGAACUUCAGGCCUGGCUGGACGGUCCGCCUUCCGGGCGAGUACUGUCUGUGGUCGGGUCCUACCUUCUGGCGAAGCGUCAUGGCCUUAACCGGCCGUGGCGGGGAACCAGGACUUUUACUGUGAAAAAUUAGAGUGUUCAAAGCAGGCAAUUCGCUUGGAUACAUUAGCAUGGAAUAAUGGAAUAGGACAAUGGUUCUAUUUGUUGGUUUCUAGGACUGUUGUAAUGAUUAAUAGGGAUAGUUGGGGGCAUUAGUAUUCAAUUGUCAGAGGUGAAAUUCUUGGAUUUAUUGAAGACUAACUACUGCGAAAGCAUUUGCCAAGGAUGUUUUCAUUAAUCAAGAACGAAAGUUAGGGGAUCGAAGACGAUCAGAUACCGUCGUAGUCUUAACCAUAAACUAUGCC
RNAcentral lists this ribosomal RNA (470 nucleotides) under uncultured Paraglomus. RNAcentral's name for it is "SSU rRNA". It matches the Rfam family "Eukaryotic small subunit ribosomal RNA", at positions 569 to 1043 of the family's 1831-position model. Lineage: Eukaryota; Fungi; Glomeromycota; Glomeromycetes; Paraglomerales; Paraglomeraceae. The record is from RNAcentral.